AGAUGAAGUUAGCCUUCUCAGCUAGCCUUUAGAUUUGUCUGUUAACAGUAGAAAUGCUAUAAUAAAUCAGUAACAUAUGUUGCCAGGCAGGGAAAAGUGGUAGACAAGAGCCUGGGAGACCAAGCCAAGUACCAUGUGAAAGAAUUCAAAUUUCAAUCUAUUUGCUGCUAAUUACCAUCUGAAAAGUAAUUUGAAAGUGUUGUUACUUGCUUAUAUUCUUCCUCAUUUUUCUUUCUUUCUUUUUUUUUUUUUCUCUUCAGAUUGCUUUCUUACCCAAAUUAUCUCCGUGAUUGCCUGUCCUGAGGCUUUGGGCCAAUGCAAACUACGGAAUGGCAAGUCUUACAAUCUUGUCUGUCCUUGUCUGGCAUCCAUCCUCCUUCCAGAAUGAACAGAGGUAUAUCCAUAAGCACUGGACCCUGAUUUCACAGCCUCAUCCAAAGCCAGGCAAUUCUUGAGGCAAACAAACAAAGGGGUGUGAGUGAUUUCAUUUAUUUUGAUAAUCCUCUGUCUGCACAGGGGCACUUUGCUGUCUUUGUCAAAGUGAAUGACAACAAUUUGGCCAACUCUCUCUGAGCUGCACUCAACAGUGACAGGCAAAUUAUCAGA
RNAcentral lists this long non-coding RNA (606 nucleotides) under Mus spretus (western wild mouse). Its description in RNAcentral is "lncRNA (ENSMSPG00010019074.1)". Lineage: Eukaryota; Metazoa; Chordata; Mammalia; Rodentia; Muridae. The record is from RNAcentral.